CCUACGGGUGGCAGCAGUCGGGAAUAUUGGUCAAUGGAGGAAACUCUGACCCAGCAAUACCGCGUGAAGGAUGACGGUUCUCGGAUUUGAAACUUCUUUUAUAAAGGAAGAAAAAAGUGCCGGUACUUUAUAAGUAAGCCCCGGCAAACUAUGUGCCAGCAGCCGCGGUGAUACAUAGGGGGCAAGCGUUGUCCGGAAGGACUGGGUGUAAAGGGUGUGUAGGUGGAUUAUUAAGUUAGAGGUGAAAGCCCGAAGCUCAACUUUGGAACUGGCGUUAAAACUGGUUGGCUUGAGUGUGGGAGAGGUUAGUGGAACUCGUGGUGUAGCGGUGGAAUGCGUAGAUAUUAGGAAGAACACCAGAGGCGAAGGCGACUAACUGGAACAUUACUGACACUGAAACACGAAAGCGUGGGGAGCAAACAGGAUUAGAUACCCCAGUAGUC
Molecule: ribosomal RNA, 443 nt
Filed under: uncultured bacterium
Lineage: Bacteria
Description: partial 16S ribosomal RNA
Rfam family: Bacterial small subunit ribosomal RNA
Source: RNAcentral